Molecule: ribosomal RNA, 461 nt
Filed under: uncultured bacterium
Lineage: Bacteria
Description: partial 16S ribosomal RNA
Rfam family: Bacterial small subunit ribosomal RNA
Source: RNAcentral
GAUGAACGCUGACAGAAUGCUUAACACAUGCAAGUCUUUGGCGAAGCUGUGCUUGCACAGCCUAGCCAAGGCGGACGGGUGAGUAACGCGUAAGGAACUUGCCCUGCAGUCAGGGAUAACAGACGGGAACGACUGAUAAGACCUGGUAAAGUCAGGCGGACUCAUGUCCAGCCUGAUGAAAAGAGAUGCUGCAGGAGAGCCUUGCGUCCUAUUAGCUUGUUGGUGGGGUAACGGCCCACCAAGGCGAUGAUAGGUAGCCGGCCUGAGAGGGUGGACGGCCACAAGGGGACUGAGAUACGGCCCUUACUCCUACGGGAGGCAGCAGUGGGGAAUAUUGGACAAUGGGGGCAACCCUGAUCCAGCAAUUCUGUGUGCACGAUGAAGGUUUUCGGAUUGUAAAGUGCUUUCAGCAGGGAAGAAAAAAAUGACGGUACCUGCAGAAGAAGCGACGGCUAAAUACG